Molecule: transfer RNA, 72 nt
Filed under: Stegodyphus mimosarum
Lineage: Eukaryota; Metazoa; Arthropoda; Arachnida; Araneae; Eresidae
Rfam family: tRNA
About the family: Transfer RNA (tRNA) molecules are approximately 80 nucleotides in length. Their secondary structure includes four short double-helical elements and three loops (D, anti-codon, and T loops).
Source: Rfam by way of RNAcentral
UCCUUCGUGGUGUAGUGGACAGCGCGCUCGACGCUAGUCGAGAAGUCCGUGGUUCGAGUCCCGGUGAGGGCA